RNAcentral lists this non-coding RNA (214 nucleotides) under Afipia broomeae. The record is from RNAcentral. RNAcentral also lists the same sequence under 1 other name. Lineage: Bacteria; Pseudomonadati; Pseudomonadota; Alphaproteobacteria; Hyphomicrobiales; Nitrobacteraceae.
ACAUAACGUGACCAUCGCGGUUCUGCGGGCACGUUGCCCGGAGCCAAGAGGGAAUGCGGUGCGCGCGGUUUUGGAUCGCGCAAGUCCGGAGCUGCCCCCGCAACUGUAGACGGUGAGCCUGUCCAUCGAUGCCACUGAGGCGAAAGCCUCGGGAAGGCCGGACGUAAGGCGUUGAACCGUGAGCCAGGAGACCUGCCGCGAUCACAUUACGUCC